GAUGAACGCUGGCGGCGUGCCUAAUACAUGCAAGUCGAGCGAACAGACGAGGAGCUUGCUCCUCUGACGUUAGCGGCGGACGGGUGAGUAACACGUGGAUAACCUACCUAUAAGACUGGGAUAACUUCGGGAAACCGGAGCUAAUACCGGAUAAUAUAUUGAACCGCAUGGUUCAAUAGUGAAAGACGGUUUUGCUGUCUCUUAUAGAUGGAUCCGCGCCGCAUUAGCUAGUUGGUAAGGUAACGGCUUACCAAGGCAACGAUGCGUAGCCGACCUGCGAGGGUGAUCGGCCACACGGGAACUGAGACACGGUCCAGACUCCUACGGGAGGCAGCAGUAGGGAAUCUUCCGCAAUGGGCGAAAGCCUGACGGAGCAACGCCGCGUGAGUGAUGAAGGUCUUCGGAUCGUAAAACUCUGUUAUUAGGGAAGAACAAAUGUGUAAGUAACUAUGCACGUCUUGACGGUACCUAAUCAGAAAGCCACGGCUAACUACGUG
RNAcentral lists this ribosomal RNA (497 nucleotides) under uncultured bacterium. Its description in RNAcentral is "partial 16S ribosomal RNA". It matches the Rfam family "Bacterial small subunit ribosomal RNA", at positions 28 to 507 of the family's 1533-position model. The record is from RNAcentral.